GGAAUAUUAUUUUUUUUAACAAUACACUAUCCAAAACAUGAUUUAGAUUUAUUCAACACAAAAAAAUGCUGUAUCACUUUAUUUUGAGACAAUGAAAACAAUAAUACUUAUAAGAAUACUACUUGAUUACAAAGUUAAAAUUGGGCGCGAACAUGUAGGGUGCGAACGGACUUUGGGUGCGAACAUGUAGGGUGCGAAAGUGAAAGGGGGCGAACAUGAGUGGGUGCGAACGUGAAUGGGCGCGAACGGACCCGGAUUCAGUCGAUUU
RNAcentral lists this long non-coding RNA (268 nucleotides) under Mytilus galloprovincialis (Mediterranean mussel). The record is from RNAcentral. Lineage: Eukaryota; Metazoa; Mollusca; Bivalvia; Mytilida; Mytilidae.